GGCGGUGAAUAUGAAUGCUUCGAGUUUUUCAUUACAAACUACUUGUAUGUCUUGUGGAAUGUCAUAUGCUCCCUUGUGGGCGAAAUUGUAAUACAACUUUCAGCAACGGAUCUCUUGGCUCCCGCAUCGAUGAAGAACGCAGCGAAAUGCGAUAAGUAA
RNAcentral lists this ribosomal RNA (159 nucleotides) under Inocutis tamaricis. Its description in RNAcentral is "5.8S ribosomal RNA". The stretch from base 95 to 159 matches the Rfam family "5.8S ribosomal RNA", at positions 1 to 65 of the family's 154-position model. Lineage: Eukaryota; Fungi; Basidiomycota; Agaricomycetes; Hymenochaetales; Hymenochaetaceae. The record is from RNAcentral.